UGGGGAAUAUUGCACAAUGGGCGCAAGCCUGAUGCAGCCAUGCCGCGUGUGUGAAGAAGGCCUUCGGGUUGUAAAGCACUUUCAGCGAGGAGGAAGGUGGUGAACUUAAUACGUUCAUCAAUUGACGUUACUCGCAGAAGAAGCACCGGCUAACUCCGUGCCAGCAGCCGCGGUAAUACGGAGGGUGCAAGCGUUAAUCGGAAUUACUGGGCGUAAAGCGCACGCAGGCGGUUUGUUAAGUCAGAUGUGAAAUCCCCGGGCUCAACCUGGGAACUGCAUUUGAAACUGGCAAGCUAGAGUCUCGUAGAGGGGGGUAGAAUUCCAGGUGUAGCGGUGAAAUGCGUAGAGAUCUGGAGGAAUACCGGUGGCGAAGGCGGCCCCCCUGGACGAAGACUGACGCUCAGGUGCGAAAGCGUGGGGCAGCAAACAGGAUUAGAUACCCUGGUAGUCCACGCUGUAAACGAUGUCGAUUUGGAGGUUGUGCCCUUGAGGCGUGGCUUCCGGAGCUAACGCGUUAAAUCGACCGCCUGGGGAGUACGGCC
Molecule: ribosomal RNA, 542 nt
Filed under: uncultured bacterium
Lineage: Bacteria
Description: partial 16S ribosomal RNA
Rfam family: Bacterial small subunit ribosomal RNA
Source: RNAcentral